AUAAAGAUUUGUUAGGUGAGGCUCCUAUACAAACACAGGCUACUGCCCAAAAAUGUCGAGAGACGCCAAUGGGUAGAACAGGGAUUGUCGAGUACAAGGCUUUCCAUAAGGUAGCUAAAAGAGAGUGAUUUCUUUUUACGUUGUAUAGUGCCAAAACUCAACGAAUAGAUCUCAUU
RNAcentral lists this small RNA (176 nucleotides) under Enterococcus sulfureus. RNAcentral describes it as "Magnesium sequence". It matches the Rfam family "M-box riboswitch aptamer (ykoK leader)". From Rfam's summary of the family: M-box riboswitch, also know as ykoK leader is described as a metaloregulatory RNA that sense divalent metals and function as a genetic control element of genes related to divalent metal transport in bacteria. It was first reported upstream of the B.subtilis ykoK gene and genes with related functions in other bacteria. The record is from RNAcentral. Lineage: Bacteria; Bacillati; Bacillota; Bacilli; Lactobacillales; Enterococcaceae. RNAcentral also lists the same sequence under 1 other name.